AAAAUAAGGUAAAUUGUACGGACCAAGGCGAUGUACAAAAGUGAGUGAGUUUACGUUAGCUAGUUAACAGCCAUGGUGGAGGGUGACAGGACAUUAACGUUAGCCCCAACUGUCAGUGAGAGAUUAGGCUAUUCUGGAUAAGGCAGGCACUUUUGUGUAGUUCCUGUCCCUAGAAGUGAGGAUGGAGAUAAUAGUAACAUAAUAUUCAGUGUGGUGUAAUUUGACUAUAAUGAAGUCUGUUUCUUGUGAGGUUUUAUGUCCUCAUAAAGAGAGAUAUUGUCACGUUCUGACCUUUAUUUCCGUUGUUUUGUCAUUAUUUAGUAUGGUCAGGGCGUGAGUUGGGGUGGGCAGUCUAUGUUUGUUUUUCUAUGAUUUGGGUAUUUCUAUGUUUCGGCCUAGUAUGGUUCUCAAUCAGAGGCAGGUGUCAUUAGUUGUCUCUGAGAAUCAUACUUAGGUAGCCUGGGUUUCACUGUGUGUUUGUGGGUGUUUGUUUCCGUGUCUGUGUUUUUCAACACACGGUACUGUUUUGGGUUUCGUUCAUUCCAUGUUUAUUGUUUUUGUAUUCAGUUGUUCAUGUGUACUAUUUCGUAUUAAAAGAACCAUGGACACUUACCACGCUGCAUAUUGGUCCUCCGAUCCUUUUCGCCUCUCCUCUUCGGAAGAAGAGGAGGAAAUCCCUUACAGAUAUGAAAGCCUGUCUAUAUAUGAAGAGGUCCCAAUGAAGAGCAGUGGUUCUCAGUCCUGGUCCUGGGGGCUCAAAGGGGUGUACAUUUUUGUUUUUGUCUUAGCACUGCACAGCUGAUUCAAAUUAUCAACUCAUCAAGCUUCAAGUGGUAUUUAUGUAUUCUUUUGUGACCCUAUCCUUGAUAUGAUCCUGUUAUUGUCACAUGCACAUAUGUGUGGCCAUGCCUCUAUCGGUCCAAUGUUAUCAUGAUUUGUUAUCAGGGAUAUUAUACUUUAGUAAUCUACAAUGAUCUGGUGAUGUAAAACUCAAAUAAUUACAUUAUUAUUAAUUGUCUUCCAUAUUCCUACAGAUACCUUGUAACUGGAGAUUCAUUCAAAGCGAUUGCCUACAGUUAACGUGUAGGGCACUGCACGGUUGGGUGACCAGGGUCAUCUGGGACUGAGGAAUUCAGGUGUGUGAAGGCUACCUGUGUCCUGCAUAACUUCACCAGGAGGGGAUAUGCAGCCGCCGUGUGCCAGAGAAGUCUGCUGCUCUGCAGGAUGUUUCAAGGAUGGGGUACAACAACACAGCAAGAGAGGCAAUCCGUGUGCGGGAAAUCUUCACCUCCUACUUCUUUGAAGAUGGUGCUGUUCCCUGGCAACACAAUAGACUGCACUAUGCACAACCAAAGGCUCUUUUAAGAGCCAUUCACAUUGCAAUAAGAGUAGUCUUCCAUUUACUUAGCUAUGUCAUUUUUGCAGUUAUUCAAUUUCCAGUUUCUCUCCCUUUGAGUUCUACUUCUAAGGUGAGGGUGCUGUUUAGGUAAGGGUGUGAUGUCUGUACAAAAACAAAACAGGCUAUUUUAAAAUCACCCAUAUUGAAAAAAUGUAGAGCAAUUAGACACCCUAUAACCCAUACCUACACUCAUGUAUCAAUCUGAUUGAUGGAUUGUGUUGUGCAGUAAACAGGCUCAGGUGUAUAACUGUGGCUCCUUCCACCUUCAAAGAAUAGGCAAGAGGGCCAACCAUGGAGAAUAGUAAGACACUUCAUUAUUUCUAUAACUACGCUAUAUUGUUUGCCCUUGUGUGUCCGCUCAUGUUUUUUGGCAGAAAGUAUCUGCAGCCACACACCGAUUCCUGUUGAACAGUCUCUUUAAUUACCUUAUUUUCUCAAGUCUAUCUCCUUCACUUCAUCCCUCUUUCCUCUUCUCCCUAAAUCCUCUAGGUUAUAUCAGCUGUGUCGGUGAAACCCUCCCACAUUUGAACUGGCUACAUAGAUGGCACAGCAUGAUCAGAGAUGUUUUUAUUUGAGAGGAUGCCAACCCUGUCUCAUCAUCGCCACCUCAACUUUCGUGCCGACUAGACACUUAUGUAAUUGUUAUGAACUGAGAGAAUAUUUGGGUAGCACUAAUCAUUAAUCAUAUGCUGCCUUCCCUGCUCCUAUGUUCUUACCUCUUUCCCUGUCUUUUACACCUCUCUCACUGCCUCUUUCUUCCUGUUUUUAUAAUGCACAACAGAUGUGCAUUGAAGUACAGAUUGAACUUGUAUUUAUAAUAUUAUAAUAUUUGUAAUGCAUGUAUUUAUAACACUUGG
Molecule: long non-coding RNA, 2256 nt
Organism: Oncorhynchus tshawytscha (Chinook salmon)
Lineage: Eukaryota; Metazoa; Chordata; Actinopteri; Salmoniformes; Salmonidae
Source: Ensembl